AUCAGGGGCUUUACAAGGCCCCAAAACACAAACCACCAAAGUUUUAAAUGAAACGAGACAUGAACUUCUUCUGAUUCAUAACAGAGAUAAGUUUUUAGAAACCACCACGGAGCCUUAGCACCAAGUGAAGGGUAGACUCCUUCUGGAUGUUGUAGUCGGCCAAAGUACGACCAUCCUCAAGCUGUUUUCCAGCGAAGAUGAGACGCUGCUGGUCCGGAGGGAUACCUUCCUUGUCCUGGAUCUUAGCCUUCACGUUGUCAAUGGUGUCGGAGCUCUCAACUUCAAGAGUAAUGGUCUUUCCAGUGAGAGUCUUCACGAAAAUCUGCAUACCUCCACGGAGACGCAACACCAAGUGAAGUGUAGACUCCUUCUGAAUGUUGUAGUCAGCCAAAGUUCUACCAUCUUCAAGUUGUUUUCCGGCGAAGAUCAAUCUCUGCUGGUCCGGUGGGAUACCCUCUUUGUCCUGGAUCUUGGCUUUGACAUUGUCGAUAGUGUCAGAGCUCUCCACCUCCAAAGUGAUAGUCUUUCCAGUCAACGUCUUGACAAAGAUCUGCAUACCACCACGGAGCCUGAGAACAAGAUGAAGUGUGGACUCCUUCUGGAUGUUGUAGUCAGCAAGAGUUCUGCCAUCCUCCAACUGCUUUCCAGCGAAGAUCAACCUCUGCUGGUCCGGAGGAAUACCCUCCUUGUCUUGGAUCUUGGCCUUGACGUUGUCGAUGGUGUCAGAACUCUCCACCUCAAGAGUAAUCGUCUUUCCCGUUAAGGUCUUGACGAAAAUCUGCAUACCACCACGGAGCCUGAGAACCAAGUGGAGGGUGGAUUCCUUCUGGAUAUUGUAAUCAGCCAACGUACGGCCAUCCUCUAGCUGUUUUCCGGCGAAAAUAAGCCUCUGCUGAUCCGGAGGAAUGCCUUCCUUAUCCUGGAUCUUGGCCUUAACGUUGUCGAUGGUGUCAGAGCUUUCCACCUCGAGGGUGAUAGUCUUUCCGGUGAGAGUCUUAACAAAGAUCUGCAUCUGUAAUUCACAAAAAACUGAGAUUAAUCGCUUGGAUAAUCUCAAAUCCGAUUAAAAAAGCUACCACCAGAUCUGAAUAUAAAUCACAUAUCGGAUCAAAUUCAAAGAAUCGACGCCUAAAUAUACAAAUCUGUGAAAUCUACGAACCCUAGUUCAGAAUAUAGAUGAG
Molecule: small RNA, 1181 nt
Filed under: Arabidopsis thaliana (thale cress)
Lineage: Eukaryota; Viridiplantae; Streptophyta; Magnoliopsida; Brassicales; Brassicaceae
Description: ATSL192330
Source: RNAcentral